Molecule: long non-coding RNA, 2521 nt
Organism: Poecile atricapillus (Black-capped chickadee)
Lineage: Eukaryota; Metazoa; Chordata; Aves; Passeriformes; Paridae
Exons: 3
Source: RefSeq, a predicted model, not a curated record
CUGACUCUGUCAGUGGUUUUUGUACUACUGCAUUUUAAUUUUCCUAUUAAGUUGUAGUUUUUUUAUUUAUACAAAUAAGUAAAGAACUGUUAUUCCUACUCCCAUAUCUUUGCCUGAGAGCCCCUUAAUUAUAAAAUUAUAAUAAUUUGGAGGGAAGAGGUUUACAUUUUCCAUUUCAAGGGAGGCUCCUGCCUUCCUCAGCAGACACCUGUCUUUUCAAACCAAGACAAUGAUUCAAAGGUGAGCUGGUUCAAGGUGCUAAAGUGUUGGAAAAUGAACUUUUAAAGAAGAUAAGUAGCUCAUUUGCAGAAGUUAACCAGUAGGGAAAGUGAAGAAAAGAGGAGUGGAAGACAGGAACAUUAAGACUGUGCUGUUGCAGUCUGACUACUCAUUUCACAGUUUAUGAAGUUUGCAGGCCUGUGAUGUGCCACAUUUGGUUUAGUUCCAUUUAACAACGGUCUACUGCAUCCAAAACUCAGCUGAAAUAUUUCACUGAUCAGUUUGGAAUAACACUUCCCCCACCAAGUCAUACCUUUUGUGGAUGUCUUGACUUUAAAUUACUACUCGGUUUUUUUACAAAACCAAGGCUGAUAUAUGAUGCCUUGGCCCUGAUGUUCAAACAAUAAACUGGACUGGUAAUUCUGUAGGUAGCACUAAGGCCCACCUUUUGUGGACCUGAGUUAAAGUUGUUGGGUCUUAGAAGCACAAAGCCACAGUCCAAGGUUAUGUUGAGUGCUUGCUGACAAGCAGAGCAGUCAUAAAAUAGAUGGAUACAAAGUACUUGAGAAUGUAAAUUUAUCAAGUAGGAAAUGCAUAGGAUUCCUCCCACUAAAGUUGAGUGUCCUUUACUGAGUUUCAGGAAAGGACUUUCUGAUUGCUAUUCAGUGAACAGACUACGUCAAAAGCACUUUCCUCAGGGAAGGAAUGAUGUACCGUAAGGAACAGAACAUCAGUUCUCUAUUAUGCUUACUGGGAGCUCAGGUAACAGAAGGUCUUGCCUUAUUUCUGCUAUGGAGUUACCCUGUAUUAGAGCACCUGCAGUCUGUGAGAUAGAGAUUCUAUUUUCAACUAAUCCCUUGAAAAGAACAAUUCUUAGUAAGUCAGCUAUCAAAAUAUCCCACUCACUGUGAAGACUUGAUACUUGGCAGAAACAAUCAAUCCAUAUUUAACAGAUAGAUUGUCACAAGAUGGCAGUGCAUAAAUAACGUUAAAUAAAAUAUACAGUAUGUUACUGUGUAUUGUAAUAGCUGCAUAAAGUCUACAGCCGAAUUCCUUUCAGAUUUUGAGAACAGAGAAAACUAAACUGAUGAACUUCUACACCUUGUUAGUGUGCAAUCCAUUUCCAGAGCUGAACAGAAGAGGAAGCAGAUUUAUGGGCUAGAAGGUACUAUCUAAGCUACAGAUUCCCAAAACCAGAUAAGCAUGAAGUUAUAUGGAAAAUGCUAAUGGCCCCAGAAAAGGAUCCUAUGAUGGGAAGUGUAUGUAAGAUGCCCUUAAGUAUUGCAAAAAAGAAAUGUAGGGAGUAGCUUCAUGGUCAGUGGUUGAAGCUAUGAGCAGUGGGAGAGGAGGGAGACUUCAAUUAUGAUAACAAACAUUUUUUGUGAACACAGGCACACAGAAAGUAAAAUACAGUAUCAGAGGGCCACAAGAUUAAAAAAAAACAACCAAAACAACCCAAACCACAAAAUGGGUUUACUGCUACUGCUGACUGAUCUGAUCUGCAGCGAAGAUGAUCUGUUGUUCUUGAGAGUAGUAACCCUGCAAGCACUUGACCCAAUAUUUAUGACAAAUGUAAUCUUUCACCACAAAUGCCCAACAGCUGCUCCUGUUUAAUAAAUCAGGGUUGUUGUACAGAAACACACCAAGAGCUGCUGCAUAAAUACAAACUGGUAUUAAGUUUCAGAAAGACAACUAUUAGUUGAACUAAUUGAGUUGUCCAGUGGCUCCAUCCAACCAGAUCACAGUAAAGACACAGCUUUUACACCAGACAAGUUGCUGGGGAAAAUUUUUAAAGUAGAGCCAAUGAGAGCUGCUGUAAAAGGUGGAUAGUAGCAUCUUUAGCAGUUUCAGCAUGUUUUCCACCUGUGAUGACAGAAGCUGUAAAUAGCCCUCUAAGGAGAGAAGGGAAUCUACAUGGUUGCUGUUCCUCUGUGACAAAAGAAAGAGAAACACGGUGUAAAGCAGUUAUUUUAUGUAAAAGGAGGUAAAAAUCAAAGUCUGAGAGACACAGAGCACAGUGCAAUACUGCUGCUGACCACCAUCAAGUCUUCAUACUGAUGGAAGAUGACACAUUAGCAAGAGCAGAACAGCUCCAGGGCUUGAGCAGCCUUACCAUGCCUGCAACAGCAGAAGUGGGCUUUCCUCUGAAGCUGUACCUCUCCACCAGUGCAGAAAAACCAGUUCCAACUGAUCCUCUCCUUGAGGUGGACAGCAGUCACCUAAAGCUCCCUGACAUGCUUUCAGGUCAACAUCCUGAAGACACAAAUAUAAUGGUUCUAUUACACAGCAUGCCAUCAAAAUU